This 380-nucleotide unclassified non-coding RNA is filed under the name Hevea brasiliensis (rubber tree). The record is from RNAcentral. Lineage: Eukaryota; Viridiplantae; Streptophyta; Magnoliopsida; Malpighiales; Euphorbiaceae.
GAAAGAGGUAAAUAGUAAGCCUAAAAAUGUGGUAGUAUUGGAGGAUUUAGGAGCUGAGUAUUUAGAAGAGCUAUUGAGCUCAUCAUGUGUAGGAAGUCCUAAUCCUUGAUGAAUAAUUAAUCUUUUUGUCCAUUAUUUCCUUUUUUCAGAUCUUUUUUUUUUUUGACAACCCUUCUUUCAGAUCUUAAUUAAUUCUCGAUUUUCUUUUCUUUUCUUUUUCACAUCUUGUUAUCCACUCCGUAUAACCAUGGAAGAACAAGGCUGUUUACUUUUCUUGGGCUGAUGCGCCAUGGUGGGGUUCAGCUUUCUCUGUCAAUUUCUGUUUUUUGUGCUGAAAUUGUAGAGUUGAAAAUGAUAUGGAUAUGGAUAUGUUUAUUAAG